CCUGAGAAACGGCUACCACAUCCAAGGAAGGCAGCAGGCGCGCAAAUUACCCACUCCCGGCACGGGGAGGUAGUGACGAAAAAUAACGAUACGGGACUCAUCCGAGGCCCCGUAAUCGGAAUGAGUACACUUUAAAUCCUUUAACGAGGAUCUAUUAGAGGGCCAGUCUGGUGCCAGCAGCCGCGGUAAUUCCAGCUCUAAUAGCGUAUAUUAAAGUUGUUGCGGUUAAAAAGCUCGUAGUUGAAUCUGUGUCCCGCACUGUCGGUUCACCGCUCGCGGUGUUCAACUGGCAUGUCUGUGGGACGUCCUGCCGGUGGGUUUAGCCCGUCAAAAGGCGACCCAACUAAAAUCCUACCACGGUGCUCUUUACCGAGUGUCGAGGUGGGCCGGCACGUUUACUUUGAACAAAUUAGAGUGCUUAAAGCAGGCUCAUUCGCCUGAAUAUUGUGUGCAUGGAAUAAUGGAAUAGGACCUCGGUUCUAUUUUGUUGGUUUUCGGAAUGCCGAGGUAAUGAUUAAUAGGGACAACUGGGGGCAUUCGUAUUGCGACGUUAGAGGUGAAAUUCUUGGAUCGUCGCAAGACGAACAGAAGCGAAAGCAUUUGCCAAAUGUGUUUUCAUCAAUCAAGAACGAAAGUUAGAGGUUCGAAGGCGAUCAGAUACCGCCCUAGUUCUAACCAUAAACGAUGCCAGCUAGCGAUCCGCCGAAGUUCCUCCGAUGACUCGGCGGGCAGCUUCCGGGAAACCAAAGCAUUUGGGUUCCGGGGGAAGUAUGGUUGCAAAGCUGAAACUUAAAGGAAUUGACGGAAGGGCACCACCAGGAGUGGAGCCUGCGGCUUAAUUUGACUCAACACGGGAAACCUCACCAGGCCCAGACACCGGAAGGAUUGACAGAUUGAGAGCUCUUUCUUGAUUCGGUGGGUGGUGGUGCAUGGCCGUUCUUAGUUGGUGGAGCGAUCUGUCUGGUUAAUUCUGAUAACGAGCGAGACUCUAGCCUGCUAAAUAGGCGUACUUUCCGGUAUCUCGAAGGCCCGCCGGCUCGGCUUCGGUCGUUGUCGUGUGUGGUUUUUACUACCGGCGUACACAUAAAUCUUCUUAGAGGGAUAGGUGGCGCUUAGUCGCACGAAAUUGAGCAAUAACAGGUCUGUGAUGC
RNAcentral lists this ribosomal RNA (1151 nucleotides) under Echidnophaga oschanini. RNAcentral's name for it is "SSU rRNA". It matches the Rfam family "Eukaryotic small subunit ribosomal RNA", at positions 395 to 1470 of the family's 1831-position model. The record is from RNAcentral. Lineage: Eukaryota; Metazoa; Arthropoda; Insecta; Siphonaptera; Pulicidae.